CUUUCCUUGACGACGACUGGCGCACGGGUGAGUAACGCGUAUCCAACCUUCCCAUGACCACGGGAUAACCCGUUGAAAGACGGCCUAAUACCGUAUGACGUCGUUUGCCGACAUCGAAAGACGACCAAAGGUUUGGCGGUGAUGGAUGGGGAUGCGUCUGAUUAGCUUGUUGGCGGGGUAACGGCCCACCAAGGCUACGAUCAGUAGGGGUUCUGAGAGGAAGGUCCCCCACAUUGGAACUGAGACACGGUCCAAACUCCUACGGGAGGCAGCAGUG
This 277-nucleotide ribosomal RNA is filed under the name uncultured Prevotella sp. Its description in RNAcentral is "partial 16S ribosomal RNA". It matches the Rfam family "Bacterial small subunit ribosomal RNA", at positions 79 to 356 of the family's 1533-position model. The record is from RNAcentral. Lineage: Bacteria; Pseudomonadati; Bacteroidota; Bacteroidia; Bacteroidales; Prevotellaceae.